RNAcentral lists this ribosomal RNA (327 nucleotides) under Triticum aestivum (bread wheat). RNAcentral describes it as "partial small subunit ribosomal RNA". The record is from RNAcentral. Lineage: Eukaryota; Viridiplantae; Streptophyta; Magnoliopsida; Poales; Poaceae.
AUGGGGUGGAUGGUGCUCCCCCAGGCCACCUGCCUGGACUUGCCCUGCGGGUUGUCGAACCAGAAGGUCCAGGCGUUCUCGAGCGGGUGGGCGGUGAUGCGCCCCGCAGCGGCGGCGGAGGAGCCGUCUCCGUCGUCCGCGAUCUCCCCCUCCUCCCUCUCCUCCGCGCCCGCCGACGCGGGCCUCGUCUCCGUGUCCUCGGCCAUCCCUGCGGCGGCGGCCGGAAAGUCGCGGGCUUUUCUACGGCGGGCGGCGCGAGCGAGGAGAGCAGGCGACGGCGGCGGCGGUGGUGAGGUCUGGUCUCGCCUUCGCCCAGAUGGAGACUAG